GAAAUGCGAUAAGUAAUGUGAAUUGCAGAAUUCAGUGAAUCAUCGAAUCUUUGAACGCACCUUGUGCUCCUUGGUAUUCCUUGGAGCAUGCCUGUUUGAGUAUCAUGAAAUCUUCAAAGUAAAUCUUUUGUUAACUCAAUUGGUUUCUACUUUGGUAUUGGAGGUCUUUGCAGCUUCACACUUGCUCCUCUUUGUUCAUUAGCUGGAUCUCAGUGUUAUGCUUGGUUCCACUCGGCGUGAUAAGUUAUCUAUCGCUGAGGACACUGUAAAAGGUGGCCAAGGUAAAUGCAGAUGAACCGCUUCUAAUAGUCCAUUGACUUGGACAAUACUUUUAUGAUCUGAUCUCAAAUCAGGUAGGACUACCCGCUGAACUUAAGC
RNAcentral lists this unclassified non-coding RNA (378 nucleotides) under plant metagenome. RNAcentral's name for it is "partial contains 5.8S ribosomal RNA, internal transcribed spacer 2, and large subunit ribosomal RNA". The stretch from base 1 to 105 matches the Rfam family "5.8S ribosomal RNA", at positions 50 to 154 of the family's 154-position model. The record is from RNAcentral.